Molecule: ribosomal RNA, 893 nt
Filed under: uncultured archaeon
Lineage: Archaea
Description: bacterial SSU rRNA
Rfam family: Archaeal small subunit ribosomal RNA
Source: RNAcentral
CAGCAGCCGCGGUAAUACCAGCUCUCCGAGUGGUAGGGACGAUUAUUGGGCUUAAAGCGUCCGUAGCCGGCCGGGCAAGUCUUCCGUUAAAUCCAACGAUUCAAUCGUUGGACUGCGGGAGAUACUGUUGGGCUAGGAGGCGGGAGAGGCCGACGGUAUUCUCGGGGUAGGGGUAAAAUCCUAUAAUCCCGGGAAGACCACCAGUGGCGAAGGCGGUCGGCUAGAACGCGCUCGACGGUGAGGGACGAAAGCUGGGGGAGCGAACCGGAUUAGAUACCCGGGUAGUCCCAGCUGUAAACGAUGCGGGCUAGGUGUUGGAGCGGCUACGGGCCGCUUCAGUGCCGCAGGGAAACCAUUAAGCCCGCCGCCUGGGGAGUACGGCCGCAAGGCUGAAACUUAAAGGAAUUGGCGGGGGAGCACCACAAGGGGUGAAGCUUGCGGUUUAAUUGGAGUCAACGCCGGAAAACUUACCGGGGGCGACAGCAGGAUGAAGGCCAGAUUGAAGGUCUUGCUGGACGAGCUGAGAGGAGGUGCAUGGCCGUCGCCAGUUCGUGCCGUGAGGUGUCCUGUUAAGUCAGGCAACGAUCGAGACCCACGCCCCCUGUUGCCACCGAGGAGGUUUCUCCAAGGGGCACUCUGGGGGGACUGCCGUCGAUAAGGCGGAGGAAGGAGUGGGCCACGGCAGGUCAGUAUGCCCCGAAUCCCCCGGGCCACACGCGAGCUGCAAUGGCUGGGACAGUGGGUUCCGACCUCGAAAGGGGGAGGUAAUCCCUAAACCCAGCCGUAGUUGGGAUCGAGGGCUGAAACUCGCCCUCGUGAACAUGGAAUCCCUAGUAAUCGCGCGUCAUCAUCGCGCGGUGAAUACGUCCCCGCUCCUUGCACACACCGCCCGU